AAGUUAAAAAUUAAUCAAGUUGUUAUUUAUUAACAACCGGGCCUUUUUUGGGCAGCAUAUAAGUAUACACUUAAUUUGCGGGACAUAA
RNAcentral lists this non-coding RNA (88 nucleotides) under unclassified sequences. The record is from RNAcentral.